Hordeum vulgare subsp. vulgare (domesticated barley) is the source of this 126-nucleotide non-coding RNA. Lineage: Eukaryota; Viridiplantae; Streptophyta; Magnoliopsida; Poales; Poaceae. The record is from Rfam.
CAUAUACUCCCUCCGUCCAAAAAAGCGUGUCCCUCAAAUGAAAGUGUUUAGAACCAAAUUAGUACUAGAUAUAUCAAUUUGAAGGACAAGCUUGGGACAAGCUUUUUCGGGCGGAGGGAGUAUGAG